This is a long non-coding RNA of Aphis gossypii (cotton aphid), 393 nucleotides long. RefSeq lists it as uncharacterized. The record is from RefSeq and is a predicted model, not a curated record. NCBI's taxonomy places the organism in Eukaryota, Metazoa, Arthropoda, Insecta, Hemiptera, Aphididae. The transcript has 3 exons.
UUUAAUAGAGUUGCAAAUGUAACAUUUACGUAUAUUGUACUUAACUAUAUUAUAUGUUAAUAUAAUAUAUAAACAAUAAUUAUUUAAAUACAAUCAUUUUUGUUUAAUAAUACUAAUCACAAUAUUUGAGAUGAUGACCGUUAUGAACACAAUUUUCAACGUUCACGACUCACGAUGGCAAAAUUUAAGAAUUUGAGUGACGUAUAAAGAGCAAAAGCACAGACCACUAAAACAUUGGAAAGACUCAACACAUUAAACGAAUUUCAUAAUUCACUGAUUCGGCUAUUAAAUAAACAUAAUACGACCUAUGUUGACUCGAAACCCGGUGGGUUAACGUAAUGAACAAGAAUUUGUCAAUGGUAGACCAGAAAGCAACCUUCUGGACAACGUAUC